Molecule: ribosomal RNA, 486 nt
Filed under: uncultured bacterium
Lineage: Bacteria
Description: partial 16S ribosomal RNA
Rfam family: Bacterial small subunit ribosomal RNA
Source: RNAcentral
AUUGAACGCUGGCGGCAUGCCUUACACAUGCAAGUCGAACGGCAGCACGGGUGCUUGCACCUGGUGGCGAGUGGCGAACGGGUGAGUAAUACAUCGGAACAUGUCCUGUAGUGGGGGAUAGCCCGGCGAAAGCCGGAUUAAUACCGCAUACGCACUACGGAUGAAAGCGGGGGACCUUCGGGCCUCGCGCUAUCGGGUUGGCCGAUGGCUGAUUAGCUAGUUGGUGGGGUAAAGGCCUACCAAGGCGACGAUCAGUAGCUGGUCUGAGAGGACGAACAGCCACACUGGGACUGAGACACGGCCCAGACUCCUACGGGAGGCAGCAGUGGGGAAUUUUGGACAAUGGGCGAAAGCCUGAUCCAGCAAUGCCGCGUGUGUGAAGAAGGCCUUCGGGUUGUAAAGCACUUUUGUCCGGAAAGAAAUCCUUGGCCCUAAUACGGUCGGGGGAUGACGGUACCGGAAGAAUAAGCACCGGCUAACUACGUG